RNAcentral lists this ribosomal RNA (551 nucleotides) under uncultured bacterium. RNAcentral's name for it is "partial 16S ribosomal RNA". It matches the Rfam family "Bacterial small subunit ribosomal RNA", at positions 355 to 898 of the family's 1533-position model. The record is from RNAcentral.
UAGGGAAUCUUCCACAAUGGACGCAAGUCUGAUGGAGCAACGCCGCGUGAGUGAAGAAGGUUUUCGGACCGUAAAGCUCUGUUGUUGGUGAAGAAGGAUAGAGGUAGUAACUGGCCUUUAUUUGACGGUAAUCAACCAGAAAGUCACGGCUAACUACGUGCCAGCAGCCGCGGUAAUCGUAGGUGGCAAGCGUUGUCCGGAUUUAUUGGGCGUAAAGCGAGCGCAGGCGGAAGAAUAAGUCUGAUGUGAAAGCCCUCGGCUUAACCGAGGAAUUGCAUCGGAAACUGUUUUCUUGAGUGCAGAAGAGGAGAGUAGAACUCCAUGUGUAGCGGUGGAAUGCGUAGAUAUAUGGAAGAAUACCAGUGGCGAAGGCGGCCCUCUGGUCUGCAACUGACGCUGAGGCUCGAAAGCAUGGGUAGCGAACAGGAUUAGAUACCCUGGUAGUCCAUGCCGUAAACGAUGAGUGCUAAGUGUUGGGAGGCUUCCGCCUCUCAGUGCUGCAGCUAACGCAUUAAGCACUCCGCCUGGGGGAGUACGACCGCAAGGUUGAA